GCAGGUUUAUCUUUGCCUAUCGAUUGUGAGGCUCGUCUCUGCUCCGCUCCCCGCACGCGAAAGCCGGUGAGCCUGUCCGCUCAAACCUUACCGAGCGGUGCCACCUACCCCCUCAAAGGCAUUAUCUCUUGGUAGCGGUCUGAAAUGAAACAUCAUCAAUCAAUCAAUCUUGACUUAUGACACCAUCAGCUGGGCUGGAUCGAGUUCCAGAGCCCAAGAACCACUUUGGUCAAAGCACACUCAUGGCAAAACCUAAAAGCACCUUCCUCAAGCCGCACACCUGUCUCCAAGGUGUGCGGCUGGGCACUAUUCCUGAGCAGGUUCGAUUUCAAUCUCUCCUUCCGUCCCGGUUCUCGUAACACCAAGGCAGAUGCCCUGUCCGUAUCCACUCACCACCGUCCAGCUCAGCAGAACCCAAACCUAUUCUCCCGUCUUCCUGUUUCAUUGGAGCAGCCACGUGGAAGACCGAGCAGGUGGUCAAGGAGGCUCAAAAGAACCAACCUGAUCCCAAGACCGGGCCUCCAAACCGCCUGCAUGUUCUCAAGUCCUACAGUGGGCCCACAACUCUAAACUCACUUGUCACCCUGGCAUCAUCUGUACUACCCAGUUCAUCCAGCAGCACUUCUGGUGGCCCAGCCUCAUCAAAGACACCCGUGAAUUCGUCCAAGCCUGCUUCGUCUGUGCCCGAGGGAAGUCUUCACACCGGCCGCAGCUGGCCUGUUGCGCUCCUUGCCGAUUCCAAGCCGGCCUUGGCCUCACAUCGCCGUGGACUUCAUUACCAGCCUGUCCCCCCCCCUAAGAAGGUCUGGAAGGAAUUCUGCAAGGCGGUGGGCGCAGCAGCCAUCUUAUCCUCGGGGUAUCAUCCACACACCAACGGCCAGACGGAGCGGGCCAAUCAAUCCCUGGAAUCGGCUCUCCACUGUGUGGCCGCACGCGACCCUUUCUCAUGGUGUAGAUUCCUCCCGUGGAUCGAACACGCUCACAACUCCCUCACCAGCUCCGCUACAAGUAUAUGCCCGUUCAUGGCUUGCUGCGGUUUCCAACCCCCACUGUUCAAAGUACAGGAGCAGGCGGUGGCAGUUCCAACCGUACAGGAUCACCUCCAGAGAGUCCAGGCGGUGUGGGAGGACGUCUGGGCGGUGUUGACCCGGUCCAUGGCACGUAACAAGCAGCUCGCGGACCGUCAUCGCUCCCCUACGCCCGAAUACAAGGUGGGUCAAUCUGUCUGGCUUUCCCCCUACUUCAGAGUCCCAUAAGAUCACUCCGCGUUUCAUUCGUCCUUUCCCCAUUACCAAAAUCAUCAAUCCCACUUCCGUCCAAUUGAAACCUCCACAGUCCUUGAAAAUUCAGCCCACGUUCCACGUCUCUUUGCUUAAGCCUGUCUUCACCUGCGUCCUAAACUCCCCCCCCCCCCCCCCCGGAUUAUUGACGACCAUACUUCCAGCAGUACCACGGCCCAUUUACCUCACGUAAACCACUCUAUUCCUCGUUCCCUUUUUGACUCGUCAUUCCUCCCGCCAAGCCAGCCGCCUGUCCUCACCACUGCCUGCCACCUGUCCGGGGGACUGCCUGCCAACCCACCUAGGACCACCUACAUUACCUUUCCGAAAUAAAUCGUUCAUCAUAAUCUAUCUGCCUCCGCCUGCUCUUGGGUCCAGCUCCUCUCCAUAUGUGACAACCAUGU
Molecule: long non-coding RNA, 1684 nt
Organism: Phyllopteryx taeniolatus (common seadragon)
Lineage: Eukaryota; Metazoa; Chordata; Actinopteri; Syngnathiformes; Syngnathidae
Exons: 4
Source: RefSeq, a predicted model, not a curated record